UUACAAUGGGGUUAGGGUUUGCCUGAAGAAGAGAUUGCGAGUUGGGGUUAAGGUUUCGUAGAAGAGAGAGAGGUUUGCAGAGAGGGUUCUUACAGGAGAAGGCUUGGGUUAUAGGAAGCGACGAAGCGUAGAGUAACUUGCAAGUUAUUCUUUCCGUUAAUGCUUGCCUUUCUGGCUUCUUCCCUUCCUAUUUGGAAGUCUCGAUCCCUGGAGAAGAGUGAAAAUCGGAGAAGCUUUAAUAGAAUCUGGCUUUAUGGUAAGAAAAAGGGAAUGGAUUCCUUCCAUAAAAGAGAGAGGGAGAGGAAGGACGGAGGGAAAAAGAAGAAAAAAAAAGGAAGCAUAGUUGGAGUCUUGGAGAGAGAGUAAAUCAUUCGGACUCUCAAAGUGAUGCCCAUCUUCUUCCUCCAGCAACUUCUGGGACAACGAUCGCUAUUGGCCUCCAGGAGCUCAGCCGUAUCUGUGUAACAACGCUGCAAGGAUAAAUUAAUUGAGCCUUGAACUAGAAAUCCAAGUUCUUGUAUCAGUGCUUGACUGCUUUCAGCUGCAGAAACUCACUAGCUUCCACAAUCCAUUGACCAGAUAAGGCGCGGCUCUGAACUCCCCUCAUUUCACUUUAGCUCUGAACUAAGAAAGAAUAGGGGGCAUUAAUGAAGGUUGGCCAGCGGAGGAAGCUUGAACGAGAAAGAAAGAUUGAAGUGGGUUGGCCGAUGUGGGAAAUCCACUGGAGAAGAAGAAGAAUCUAGAAGAGUAGGGAUCAGAGAGAGUCUGAGACAAUAUUAUGAUGAGAUCAAGGCGAGAUCAGCCACUAGCUUCUUCUAAAGCAGAACCUUGGCUUGUUUUUUGCCAUGGCGAGGACAUAGCUGGACAAAUUCUCUGCAACAUAUCAGAGGAUAGUUACUAUGGUAUGAGCAUAGCUGACAUGUUCCAGAAAGAAAUUUGCACUUGUUCACAUGGAUGGAUGGUAAUAAUGGAUUUUAAACGAGAAGGACAAUGUUUCUUGUUGGGACAAAAUCCAUCUACCACCACAUGAAUGGAAAUCAUUCGAAUACAAUGGAUGUUUGCUAUCUUCUCCCCCCAGUGAUUCCAACUGCAGUCUUGUUCACAGACUAUGACAAAUUUAGACUUUUGUUUUGUCGGCUUGGACACAACAGAUGGACUGAGAUAGAUCUGUUGAACGAAUCAUUCAACUUACAUAGUCCAGUCGGUAGCAACGGAAUCAUAUAUGCAUUAAUGGGGGGGGGGUGAGAUACUCGUGAGGAUUAAAAUGGAACAUGCAGAUCCUAAGCUUCUUAACCUAUUUGAAUUUUUACGGGAUAUUGCAUGUGCAGAAUCAGAUUCAAUAGGUGCAGAUUUGGUGUCAUUACUCGAUUGGGAGCUGAUAAGGUCUGGCAAUGAACUCUAUCUUAUGCAUAAGUUUUACUUGGCCCAAAGAAGAAAUACAGUUUGGAGUUUUCAAGAAUGGAAUGGAAAAGAGUGAGAAAUCUUGGCAGCAAGGCAUUAUUUAUUAAUCCAUAUGGAGAAGGUGGUUUCUAUUCUACUACGAUAGGAUCAUCAUCAUCAUCAUCAUCAUUAAGAAGGAUUUUGAGCAACUCCAUUUACUUUACUGAGAAGAAGGACAGUUACUUGUAUAGAUUCGACAUGAAAGAGAAAAGCAUUUCGGCUACAUUGCCAUGUCCACACCUAGAUUCCAGCAUUGCUAAUUCAGUGUGGGUAAUGCCUCAUGAUGCCCAAUCUGUAAGAAAAUCUCACAUCAUGAAGAUGGAGAUGAAGAUGCAGAUGCAGAUGCAGGGACAAAAUAGAGCUUUGCACAGGAAAAGAAAAGAUAUCCUUGAGGAGGACAGCAAGAAAGGAGAUUAUUUCCUCCCCAUUUUAUCCAAGGUGGUGACAAAGUACUCUUAUUAUGCAUGCACAGUUGGAGCUCUACUGCCACUACUUGUACUUUUUGUAAAAAAGUAUAAGAUGAAGCUAGGAAUGGUGAUUUCAGGGGCAAGCAUAGGUUCAUUAUUAAGGACGGUACAUGUGAUUUAGUAAGAAUUUUAUUUGAUUCCAACACCAAUUAUAACAUCUUUAUCUGCAUGUGAUAUGCUUCUUCUGUUUAAGCAUACACUGCUUAA
Molecule: long non-coding RNA, 2114 nt
Organism: Macadamia integrifolia
Lineage: Eukaryota; Viridiplantae; Streptophyta; Magnoliopsida; Proteales; Proteaceae
Exons: 4
Source: RefSeq, a predicted model, not a curated record